GUUAUUUGACUGGAGUGAGGUCUCAUGUCUGCUUAUGCGGUGGCUCGCUGCUCAGAACAGGGAGGAAGAGGGUAAUCUGGAAGAGUUUCCUGACCUACUCUGCUGCUGUGAUUAAACAACCACCAGGAAAUUUUGAUGACACUGUUCUCCUGAGCUCCUCCCUUUCCUCGGGGAAGAAAAGCAUUGAAACUACAAAAAUAAAGUGUUAUUUGGCUGGAGUGAGGUCUCAUGUCUGCUUAUGCGGUGGCUCGCUGCUCAGAACAGGGAACCAUUGGAGAUACUCAUUACUCUUUGAAGGCUUACAGUGGAAUGAAUUCAAAUACGACUUAUUUGAGGAAUUGAAGUUGACUUUAUGGAGCUGAUAAGAAUCUUCUUGGAGAAAAAAAGACUGGGAGCCCCCUGUGUGGGAAUAGCCUGUCUCAACGACGCCCUCUAUAAGGACCUGCUUCCUCAAAGGACCUCAUAGUCGGGUCCUGCCCCUCAGUGUCCAGUCUGCCUUGGCUGGAGGGGCUGCAGGGGUGUGUUGGCGCCACCUGGUGGAGACAGGG
RNAcentral lists this long non-coding RNA (548 nucleotides) under Homo sapiens (human). RNAcentral's name for it is "prostate cancer associated transcript 19". The record is from RNAcentral. Lineage: Eukaryota; Metazoa; Chordata; Mammalia; Primates; Hominidae.